This 4285-nucleotide long non-coding RNA is filed under the name Panax ginseng (ginseng). RNAcentral describes it as "long non-coding RNA (PGIN_LNC017697)". Lineage: Eukaryota; Viridiplantae; Streptophyta; Magnoliopsida; Apiales; Araliaceae. The record is from RNAcentral.
UCCAGGUCAGUGAGGUCAUCCCUUCUGUGUUUCCUUUUCAUAUAUGUUAAUCUCUGUAUGUGUUUACAAAUAAAGAAUUUUGUGACUUAAUUUUGACAUUAAAUUAAGGAUUUAGAGUUUGUUAUGUCAUGAAUUAGAGAUUAUGUGUUAUUUUUAUUGAAUAAUAUUUAUUGAUUAUUGUAAUAAAAUUCUCAAUAAUUUUAUUAAUUUUAAUAAACAUAAUAAUUAUUAACGUAAUUUUUUUUAAAAGUGCCUAUAAGGCUAUAAUCACAAAAUUAAUAUUUUUAAUACUCAAAUUAGUCAAAUCAAUUAAGAUUCCAAAACCAACUCAAAUAAUCUAAAAUAUAACAUAACCCAUAUUAAAUAUAGAUAAUAUAAUUUUAAUUCCAAAAUCAACUCAAAUCUAUUUUAUAUAACUCAAAAUUAACUCAAACUUAUUUUUUUGCCGGGUGUAGUAUUAGGUAAUGUCAAGGUAAGACUAGGGAGUAGGGACGGUUCGAGCUUCCUUAAUUUUAAAGGGCGGCAACACAUGCACUCUACCAGCAUAAUAAACUAAUGAUAAAGCAGAAGAUUAAAUAUGUGUAUGUCUACUCAAACCAUGCUAUUCCAUCUGCCUCAGCCUAUAUAUAAUUAAUUCAAUAGGUAAACCCAAAAUAUUACCAAUAAACCAGAGAGAGAGAGAGAGGAUCAAUGGGAAAAAGUAAAAUCCUGAUAAUUGGGGGAACUGGGUAUUUGGGGAAGAGACUUGUGAAGGCAAGUUUAGAUGAAGGCCAUGAAACCUUGGUUCUCCAUCGGCCCGAGAUUGGGGUCGAUAUAGAGAAGGUCCAAAUGUUGUUAUCAUUUAAGGCCCAAGGAGCUCACCUUGUGUCCGGUUCCUUCAACCACUACCAGAGCCUGGUGGAUGCUGUGAAAAUGGUGGACGUUGUAAUUUGUGCCAUCUCGGGUGUUCAUAUUCGAAGUCAUCAAAUCCUGCUUCAGCUCAAACUCGUCGAUGCAAUCAAAGAAGCUGGAAAUGUCAAGGUAAAUUAAAAUAAUAAACAAUAAUAAUUUAUAUACGGCAAUUGAUAUAUAUAUAUAUAUAUAUAUAUAUAUAUAUAUGAUGUGUAAUUAAUUAUGAUAUAUAUGAAUGCACGCAGAGAUUUUAUCCGUCGGAGUUUGGAACAGAUCCGGCGAGAAUGGAAGAUGCAAUGGAGCCGGGAAGGGUGACAUUUGAUGAUAAAAUGGUGGUGAGGAAAGCUAUUGAAAACGCCGGGAUACCCUACACCUACAUCUCAGCCAACUGCUUUGCCGGAUACUUCCUUGGCGGUCUAUGUCAGCCUGGCCACAUUCUUCCUUCCAGGGAUUCUGUUGUCUUGUUGGGAGAUGGCAAUCAAAAAGGUAUUUUAUUCUUUACUUAUCAUCAUUUGUCAAAUCGAUAUAUAGAAAUGAAUUGUAUUUUAAUUUCUACUGAUUUUAAAUAAAUAUAUGUAUUCAGAUAGUACAAUAUAUAUAAUUAAUAUAUGUUAGAUUGGGCAUAUAUGGUGCAGGGGUAUAUGUUGAUGAGGAUGAUAUUGCCGCAUACACCAUCAAGAGUGUAGAUGAUCCACGAGCUCUGAAUAAGACACUCUAUAUUAGACCACCUCAAAACAUACUCUCCCAAUGCCAAGUUAUUCAGUUGUGGGAGAAACAUAUUGGAAAACAACUACACAAGUCUUCAAUCUCCGAACAAGAAUUUUUAGCUAACAUGAAAGGUAAUUCAAUUAUCCCCCUAUCUAUCUCAAUAUACAAUUAAUUACUACUUAAUGAAUUUUUAGUUCCAAAUCACUAAUACACUUUUUGCCUAUAAAUAUAACUGCUUAAAAAAUAAUAAUAACUCGAGAGAAGGAAAUUUGGUAAUAUUUUCAUUUUGAAUUUUUGCCAAACUAAUAUGACUUUUUUUUUUAUUUUCAUUUUUAUAAAUAGGUCUAGAUUAUGCAGAGCAAGUGGGAUUAACUCAUUACUACCACGUUUGCUACCAAGGAUGCCUUGCAAAUUUUGAAAUAGAGGAUGAGGAGGAGGUAUCUAAGCUCUAUCCGGAAAUUAAUUACACCACGGUGGAUGAAUAUCUCAAACGAUAUAUAUAAUUUCUCAAGUGAAUGGGUUCUUUAGUUUGAUAUUGUUUAUCAUAAAUUUAUCUACUUGAAUAUUGAAUAAAUCUCUUUAAUUAAUGUAAAUAACAAUCAUAUAUAUAUAUAUAUAUAUAUAUAUAUAUAUAUAUAUAUAUGUUGUUAUAGUACAUUUGAUGGAAGUUAUGAAUGUUAAAGAAAAUCGAUUAAAUUUGUGUGUACUUCUUUUGUUAUGUUUAUAGAGUUGGAUAGCCAAUUGGGCCAAGUGUUUUUCGCGAGGGUGAUGAUCGAUUUUAGUUGUUCAUUCGUAUAUCAUGUUCAAAUUAUUUAGAUUGCAUUAUAUAUAUAGGGGUUCUAUCCACAACAACUGGUUGUUGUGCCCUAUAUAUAUAUAUAUAUAUAUAUAUCCACAGUUGCUAGGAGCAUCCCUUUCGGCCCAGUCGCUACAACAUGUAGUGGCUUGUUACAAUUUUUUUUUUGUUGCUCCAGUUGCUACAAUAUGAAGCUAAAAAAAGAUUGCUCCCAGCAAUCAGUAACUGUGGUGUUCCAUCCACAGCAACCGGUUGGUUGGUGUGGAGCAACCCCUUUUUUGACCGGUUGAUUAUUUUAUUUUCUCCGGCCGAAAUUUCAACAGACCAAAAAAAGGGGUUGCUCAACAGCAACCGGUUGCUGUGGAUGGAACCCCUAUAUAUAUAUACUAGACAUACUAUCCGUGCCUCCGGCACUACGUACGAAGGGGAGGAGAGAUUGCCGGUGCUAGAGAAUAGAGGAGGCAGAUGGCAAGCUCGGUAGGAGGAAGAACGGAGGAGAAUCUGAGAGUGAGAGAGAUCAAUUUUUUAUCCUUUGAAGUUAAAAAUGAUAUAAUGGACGGUGGGAUUUAUCUCAAACUUUGGACGGUUCUGAUCGUUUAUUAGGGUGAGCGAAAAAUUUAAAAUCAGUUGCGUUUUGGCCCAUAUGUCUAUUUUGCUUUGCAAAAAUGCCCUGAGCGUACUUAUAUAGCUGCACGUCUAGACUGUUAAGUGAUGCAAUCUCCUGGAGAACCAGUUCAGGAAUAUGAAGACGUGCCUGAAAAUUUUCAAAGUCCAAAACAUUGGCAUACUGCAAUAAAGUACAUUUUAUCAAUUAUAUAUAAAUAUCAACUAAAGUCUUCGAUCAGAUAUUCCUAACUAAAUGCCUAGAUUGUUCAUUCACUAGGUGAUACCCCUCGAGGAUGGGUUGCAGUUGCCAAAGGAAAGCUGUCCAUUUGACUAAGGAGUUUAGAGAUUUUCUUUGUUACAAAUUACACUAAAUAAAUACAACAUAACAGAAUAUCUUCCUACAUCAAAGCUACGUGCAGUAGAAAGUUUUUGACAUCAAUGUAGUCACUUUGUAUUUAAACCAAUGGGAAUUGUGCUGCUGGUAAUUGAAAAACUAUCAUGGAAUCUCAAUAUCUAACCUCAACAUCUAAUGUUCCAUAAAAGAAGUCAGAACCACAUCUCAAAUAGAGGUUUUAAACUUCAACCAACACAACACAGGUAACUUGCUAGAGUUCUAUAAAAAUGUCAAACAUAAGUCACAGACCACUAAAGCCAGUUGUGGUUAACCAUAAAAAAAUUCACUAGCAUUUUUGAGCUCAAACGCUAGAAUUUACUUGCAUUAAAGGAUGAUUUUACCAAUAAUCCCUGUGGUUCUUUUUAAAAUCUCAAUAAUAUAGACUACAUCAAAAGGUAACUAAAGAAAGUGUUAUUCCAAUAGAAAAGCUCAAGGUGAGUACCUCAACAUCAAAAUCGACUCUUUCUACACCCAGUUUACAAAUUCAACUAUACCCAGUUUACAAAUCCCUUCAAUCAAAAUCAUUUAUGUACGGCUAAACUACACAGGACCAUUAUUGUAAGAGAAAAUCCACGAAAUUGACACCAAUUCUAGAUUUUGGGUAUAAUAGUUGCUCCUGUCAAUUUAGUGUAACCAUGUAACAAAACCCCCAAAUAAAUCUUAGAUUUUAUUUGGUUCAAAAAAAAUUACAAAAUUAAUAAAGUGGAGUACCCUCACCUUCCGUUAGGUAUGGUUCCGUUGGUCGGUGGAAGCUUUUCCUUCCGUUCGUCUCUUUCGGUUUGCUACAAAUUCGCUUCGAGGGAGAGGGAAGAGUUAGAGAGAGGGAGAGAAGAGUUAGAGAGGGAGGGAAGAGUUAGCCGAUUCGCACAUGGACUGCUCUGUUCUUUACC